Peromyscus maniculatus bairdii (prairie deer mouse) is the source of this 754-nucleotide long non-coding RNA. RefSeq lists it as uncharacterized. NCBI's taxonomy places the organism in Eukaryota, Metazoa, Chordata, Mammalia, Rodentia, Cricetidae. The record is from RefSeq and is a predicted model, not a curated record.
GGGAGCCAUCUGGAAGCCUGCAGGUGGCGGACACCCUGAGAGGGGUGUCCGUGGGGGAACCAGGACAGGGGAUGGGGGGGACUGAGACCCGGGUGCAUAGGGCACGGCCCUCACCUCGAAGGUGCCUGUGUACUGGCUUUUGUUAGCAGUCAUCUGGGGACUCCUGGAGGGCAAGACACCUGGAGACUGCUGGGGACACCCCUAUUCUCAGGGGAGCAGUGACCCGAGUGGCUGGGCCUCGUGGAAAGACUUCCCUAGUGGCAGCUCUUGUCACCUAAGCAAGCCAUGACCUGGUCUCUAGGGUCACUCAGAACUGUGGCACAUGAGUUAGUAGGGGGGUCUGUCUGGGGUACAGAGGUGACGUGGGUCUCAUCUUGGGUCAGGACGGAGCCUGCUCUCGGCUCGCUCGGGUGCUGCCCAGUACCUGCUGGAGGCGCUGAAAGUGCAUCCUGGUCUGAGGCGGGAGUCUGAUAGAGCAGGUCCCCCCGAUUCACAGCCCCGAGGGUACUGGCCAGCCUAACAGGACAGCCAGGAGUCAGAAGACGGCAAACGGGACCAGGCCAAGGCCAAGGCCACGUCCUAGAAGACGAGGGGAAGAUGCCGCCUAUGACACCUGAACAAAGCUAAGCAUGACAGCAAGAGCGUGGCCAGGCUUCCAGGAGUUCAAGGCCACCCCAGGAAACACAAGGCCUCGUCUCUAAAAACCGACAAAGAAAAAGAAGUUGUAGAAGAAUAAAAUUUAUUGUCUCCGCUG